RNAcentral lists this ribosomal RNA (362 nucleotides) under uncultured Desulfovibrio sp. Its description in RNAcentral is "bacterial SSU rRNA". It matches the Rfam family "Bacterial small subunit ribosomal RNA", at positions 466 to 827 of the family's 1533-position model. The record is from RNAcentral. Lineage: Bacteria; Pseudomonadati; Thermodesulfobacteriota; Desulfovibrionia; Desulfovibrionales; Desulfovibrionaceae.
CUACUGACGGUACCUUAAGAAGAAGCACCGGCUAACUACGUGCCAGCAGCCGCGGUAAUACGUAGGGUGCAAGCGUUAAUCGGAAUUACUGGGCGUAAAGCGUGCGUAGGCGGUUAUGUAAGUCAGGGGUGAAAUCCCCGGGCUCAACCUGGGAACUGCCUUUGAGACUGCACGGCUUGAAUCCGGGAGAGGGGGGUGGAAUUCCAGGUGUAGGAGUGAAAUGCGUAGAUAUCUGGAGGAACACCAAUGGCGAAGGCGGCCACCUGGACCGGUAUUGACGCUCAGGUGCGAAAGCGUGGGGAGCAAACAGGAUUAGAUACCCUGGUAGUCCACGCCGUAAACGAUGGAUGCUAGAUGUUGGG